This 641-nucleotide long non-coding RNA is filed under the name Heterocephalus glaber (naked mole-rat). Its description in RNAcentral is "lncRNA (ENSHGLG00100051898.1)". Lineage: Eukaryota; Metazoa; Chordata; Mammalia; Rodentia; Bathyergidae. The record is from RNAcentral.
UGAAGAAGAAAACAAGGACAAGGUGAUAAGGAGGGGUUGGCAAAGUCCGAUCCAUUUGGGAGCCACAGAAAAUCAGGACUGAAAAUGUAAAAGGGAGGUCUCUGAUCAUCUCCCUAAUCUGUCCCACCUGCAACCCUCCCCAUCACUUGGCUUGACCCCAUCUCCCAGCAGCUCAAAGCCAAGUAGUUUUCUGGCUUCUGCUUUCUCCGCAUCCCACAUCCACCCUUUGGUACUUCUGCUCAGGUCUACCUUCAAAAUCUCCCCAAGGUCAGGCCACAGCCCAGCACACUGCUUCCACCACUCUGUCGCUGUCAACUCUCAGCUAACUGGGCUCCCUGCUUCCACUGUGCCCUCUCCUGCUCAUCCCGCCCAGGGACCAUCAUGAUCCUUGUAAACCAAACCACCGGUUGGGAACAAAGCUGCAGGUGUCUGGCUCCUCACUUUCCGGAAGAUGGAGAUUCUUUCCUGCUACUCACCACUGUGGCCCCAGCACCUGGUGAAUGCGAGCUGUGGUCCACAGUUGAAGUUCAAAAUAUAUGGGUUGAAUGAUUGAAAGCAGUGGAACAAGAGACUCACAUGCUGCUAGCUGUUCGGCCCAGGGCCACAGGGCUCCACAUGAUCCCCCUGCAACACAAAGCUGG